GUCGCCGACAUGAGUACGGGCCGUCCCGAGCACAGCAGCAGUCACUGCGUCUUGCAGGGACGCAGGUGGGUGCAGCGCUCUGCAGCAGCCCAGGCUCUGCCUACUCACCCAACUCCGGUCAUUCUGACUUGUCAGGAGUUGAGUGAUUUUCAGUGUGGUCCAUGAGGAAGCAAGAAGCUUGAACCAGGUGAGAUGCUUUUUCCAGCCCUGACACCUGGGACCCUUCCUUGGCAGCAGUUGAUGGCUAUGGGGAGUGAAACAGGACAGUAAGAAAGUAAGGGGAAAAUAUGUGAGAACAGAAAGUCAGGAUGAAGGCAGGAAACUGGAGGGAGCUGGGUGGUAUUCUUUCAGCUAAUUCAAAAUUGGUAUUUGCAAGUGAGUUUCAAAUGUCUGUGUUUUUCAU
Molecule: long non-coding RNA, 403 nt
Filed under: Gallus gallus (chicken)
Lineage: Eukaryota; Metazoa; Chordata; Aves; Galliformes; Phasianidae
Description: lncRNA (ENSGALG00010022970.1)
Source: RNAcentral